RNAcentral lists this ribosomal RNA (443 nucleotides) under uncultured bacterium. RNAcentral describes it as "bacterial SSU rRNA". It matches the Rfam family "Bacterial small subunit ribosomal RNA", at positions 335 to 795 of the family's 1533-position model. The record is from RNAcentral.
UCCCUACGGGAGGCUGCAGUGAGGAAUAUUGCACAAUGGGGGAAACCCUGAUGCAGCAACGCCGCGUGCGGGACGAAGGCCUUCGGGUCGUAAACCGCUUUUCUGGGGAAAGAGCAAGGACGGUACCUCAGGAAUAAGUCUCGGCUAACUACGUGCCAGCAGCCGCGGUAAAACGUAGGAGGCGAGCGUUAUCCGGAUUUACUGGGCGUAAAGCGCACGCAGGCGGCUCUGUGAGUCGGACGUGAAAGCUCCCGGCUUAACCGGGAGAGGCCGUUCGAUACUGCGGGGCUUGAGGUAGGGAGAGGAAUGCGGAAUUCCCGGUGUAGUGGUGGAAUGCGUAGAUAUCGGGAGGAACACCUGUGGCGAAAGCGGCAUUCUGGCCCUCACCUGACGCUGAGGUGCGAAAGCGUGGGUAGCAAACAGGAUUAGAUACCCGGGUAGUC